RNAcentral lists this unclassified non-coding RNA (206 nucleotides) under Hevea brasiliensis (rubber tree). Lineage: Eukaryota; Viridiplantae; Streptophyta; Magnoliopsida; Malpighiales; Euphorbiaceae. The record is from RNAcentral.
GUACCCAACCAAUACAGAAAACUUGUCCCUAUCAAGGGACACAGCAAAAACAAGAAAAACCCAUACAUCUUGGUCCACGAGUGAAUAUGAGGUUGGAUUCUGGAAUACGUGUCGUGCGAGAGAUCCUUCAUGGGUCUACUCAUAGAUAAAUUUCUCAUUUUGGUAAUUUCUUUGGCGUUUCCAUAAAUGAAUCUGUAGGAAGGGCC